UGGGGAAUAUUGCACAAUGGGCGAAAGCAUGAUGCAGCGACGCCGCGUGAGGGAUGACGGCAUUCGGGUUGUAAACCUCUUUCAGUAGGGACGAAGCGCAAGUGACGGUACCUGCAGAAGAAGCACCGGCUAACUACGUGCCAGCAGCCGCGGUAAUACGUAGGGUGCGAGCGUUGUCCGGAAUUACUGGGCGUAAAGAGCUCGUAGGCGGUUUGUCACGUCGUCUGUGAAAUCCUAGGGCUUAACCCUGGACGUGCAGGCGAUACGGGCUGACUUGAGUACUACAGGGGAGACUGGAAUUUCUGGUGUAGCGGUGGAAUGCACAGAUAUCAGGAAGAACACCGAUGGCGAAGGCAGGUCUCUGGGUAGUAACUGACGCUGAGGAGCGAAAGCAUGGGUAGCGAACAGG
This 409-nucleotide ribosomal RNA is filed under the name bacterium. RNAcentral describes it as "partial 16S ribosomal RNA". It matches the Rfam family "Bacterial small subunit ribosomal RNA", at positions 355 to 776 of the family's 1533-position model. The record is from RNAcentral.